AAAAAGGGACUUCUGUCGUGAGUGGCAGCGGGUAAGGCAGCCUGACUGCUCUGCAUGUGGAAUCGACGUCAAGAGAUUUCGGAAGCAUAAUUUUUUGGUAUCUGGGCAGCUGGUGAUCGUUGGCCCUGACGCCUGG
Molecule: small nuclear RNA, 136 nt
Organism: Pteronotus mesoamericanus
Lineage: Eukaryota; Metazoa; Chordata; Mammalia; Chiroptera; Mormoopidae
Product: U11 spliceosomal RNA
Exons: 1
Source: RefSeq, a predicted model, not a curated record